AGAGGCUCACUGCAAAUCCCUGAAACCAAGAGGCAAAAUGUCCAUUGAACUCAGUGCUUCCAGUGUCUCAGAUCUUCAUCUUGGAAAAUGAGGGGUCGUAGCAUCCCAGGGUGAGAUGUACACUUUGUGCAGAGGGCCUGGUCAUUCUAGGGUACCCAGCCGCAUUUGCUGUCACCAUCUGUGCUCACUGUUGGGGCCUCCAGUUUCAUAGUCAAGUUUGGGCAACAUUUGCAUACGAGCUCCCUAAAGGAGUCUCUUGCUGGUCUUCUCUCAGACAGAUCCUUCAGGGACGGUCAUUUCAUUCAUCAGAAGGCCACCUUGUGUUUUGAAUGUGCCUACUCUGAGUACUGAGUGUGAGAGCAGAAGCUGUCUGUUCAGGCUACUGAUAUCAGGAUGGCUCCGAGUGUUACACACCACUUUCCCUUGUCAGCUCACUAGUGUCUAUGAUUAAAUGUUUCACAGCCUUCAGACUAUGAGGUGCUCGUGACUUCCACCCCAAGCCCUUCAAGCCUCAUUCAGCAGUGAGCCCUGCCAGUUCUUCUCAGCAAACACUUGUCUGUAGUCGCAGGUGACUAUUGUGGGAACAGCCUUUAUGUGCUUCCAGAAACACAUCUGUUGCACAAAGACAGGAUGAGCAGCACGCAUCUGAACUUAUUUAACCAACAGUGCACUCCUAACGAACGCCUAGCGCAUAACAAGGGGCUGGUGCCAUGCCUUUCAUUCUGAAGUGACUCCUUAGUAGGAAAGAAGGCACACAGGCACCUUUGUGUGCUUCUGUGCCUGGACCCUUGGAGGACCCAUGAAGUACUUUGUCUGCCAUAAGGCUUCUAUGACCCAGGGAGGAAUUAUUUUCAAAGUGGUCUGGAUACUCGGAUCCCCCCGCCCCACAAAGACCAGAGAUGUCAACUGCCCUUGCAGCAAUGACUCAAAGAACAUGUUCUAAAACAGGAUCAAUAUUCUUCAACUCUGUUCCUGGAA
Long non-coding RNA from Mus musculus (house mouse), 978 nucleotides. RefSeq annotates it as predicted gene, 33066. The transcript is spliced from 3 exons. The record is from RefSeq and is a predicted model, not a curated record. NCBI's taxonomy places the organism in Eukaryota, Metazoa, Chordata, Mammalia, Rodentia, Muridae.